This is a long non-coding RNA of Panicum virgatum (switchgrass), 912 nucleotides long. RefSeq lists it as uncharacterized. NCBI's taxonomy places the organism in Eukaryota, Viridiplantae, Streptophyta, Magnoliopsida, Poales, Poaceae. The transcript has 2 exons. The record is from RefSeq and is a predicted model, not a curated record.
CAGGAACCCAGGCCCCAGCAGCUGAGGCGAGCGACAGCCAGAGCAGCGACUCGCCGACUCGCGCAUCUACAGGACUUCAGCGACUCACGGCGGCGGCCCGGCGGCGCACUAGCGGCCGGCGGCGGCGGUGCGGCGGAUUCGCGACUGCGCGCGCGGCGCGCGCCCUCAGUGCCACUGUGUGAGGGCCGACCGGCCGAGUGGGCGAGCCGGUGAGGGGGCCAGCCGGGCAGGGCGUCAGGCUGCUGGCGGUCGGCGCAUCUGCUUGUGGCGGCCUGCCGCCCAGGCCGCCGCCGCCGCGGUGCCGCGGACUGCGCAGGCGCGCAAGGCACCACCAGCCAUGGAGCUCUCACCGACUCGCUGCUCGCCCUUUGUCCGCCUGCCAUCAUCACCCAUCAGUGCCAUCAGGUAACAAAUCCAUCGCAUGGCCCUCCCAUCCUACAAUUGUGUCUGCUGCCAACUUGGAACUGUGAAAACUCUAGUUCUCUUGUUCAUAACUCACCCUUUUGCUAGUGCAUGUUGGGGGGCCAUUUCACUCCAAGUCAGAUUUGCUGAACUCUUCUCAGUUCUGGAAGACUUUUGUUUGUGACCUCUUCGGCGCCCCCACCACAAUUGGACGACUCUAGAGAUGGAGAAGGGAGAAGACAGAGCUGUUGGCUGCACUGGGCGAAGCAAGGGGGAAGCUAUAGGAGGGGAGAAUUGUGCUAGCUGCAGAGCUGAGAGCUGUCAAGAAAGAAUUCAGGCCAAAGACAAUGCUGUUGCUGUACUUAGUGAAAGGGUCAUGUAAUGUAAUGUUCAUUGACAAUGAAAUGGAUAUCUUUGUCAUAGCUCUCUGUAAACUCUGUAACUACUUGUUCAUGCAAAGCAAUAAAGUUCAGGCAACCAAAAGCCUGCCGUAGUUCUAUUCAAAAAGAA